GUAAGCCAGACUUUCCUUUCAGGACCCUAUGUCAGAUUGAGUCAUAUACAAAGCAGCUGUGGGGGCAAACAGAACUGCACAAGGAGGAGGCAAAGCUAAGAAGAAUCUGCUGCUCCCCUUGAUGAUAUCAUCAUCUUCCUUCUCUUUCUGCAAUGCAAUAUUGCAUUCUGAUUGUGUUUAAUGAUGGUUCCUUCCUGUUUAUCAAGGACUGCAUCAAAAUGGAGUGUUUCCUUCAGUGCUGACUCAGACAGAUCUUUGCAGAAACUCUCAAUGUGAAAAUUCUACAAACAACAUCAAAAAGGCAUAUGCAAGGAUUGAACAGUUCUUUCAAAGCCAAAAUGCUGACUCCUCUGGAGAUGGCCACCCGAGUUACAUACAUGGUAGCCUCACUGGGGUUAAAGUAGACCACUGCAAACCAGGCUUUGGGAAAAACCUAAACACUAGCAAAGAUCAUAUGAAAUGUCCAGGAUGCUGUGCUCCAAUGUCCAGGAGUUCAGCGAAGAACCCAGUUCAGGCCUCAGAAAUAACAAAGGCCACGAUCAAGCAACCUUCACAUCAGGAAUACACAAGUGUCAGCCAAGAAUUCCGCAUCUCAGCAGUCCUCCCUCCCUGCUAUGUUGGAUCGGGUGCCACUAAUAAAACCAUGGGCUGCAGAUUUGUCCCAGAAUCAGCUAAUGGAUUACUUCAAAACAAUACAUUUUGCCAGCAUAUCUUUCUCUGGAAAUGUUACCUUGAUGACUUUUUCUGUAUUUGGAAUGUCUCAGAAGAAACAGUGAUAGUGUUUCUAUCCUUUUCUAACAAUAUAUAUAGUUCCAUUACAGUUUUGAUUGUGUUUAUUUUCUGAAUAUUGAAGUCUUCUUGUCCCAAGGAGUUUUUGUUAACUGAUAUAGUUAAGAAAACUACAGAUGUAACUAGAAAACUCUACAGCCACAGACAGGUAUAGAGUGCCCCCCUAGAAGCUGCUGUGAGAUGUGCCAUUGUCAGGGCUGCAGGGGAUCCUUGAGCACCGUGCUCUAUGGCUAUUUUUGCAAGUUGUGUGAGUUAUCUGCUGUUGCUGCCAUUGCUGCAGUUAACAAGAGGGACUGCGUUUUACGUGUAUCCUAGGGCAUCACCAUGUUUCAAUAGGAACAUAACGCAGUUUUCCUGGAACAUGGUCUAUGACAUUAAGACCUAAGUGUAGUUAACAGUAGUUGGAUCGCUGGGAGACACAGCAAAUUGAACACUACUUAGACCAUGGGUCAGUGUAAAUAGAGGUUUUCCCUCACAAUUAGCUAUCAAUGUUAGAGGAAAAAAAUGCAUCAAUCAAAACUGUGUAAAUUGGGGAAGUACUAUAUAUUAAGGAGAUGAGUGUUGUCCCUGUAGCUAGAUGGUACACCUUCAGAAAAUAUGGUUUACUCACUAAGCUACCAUAGACAUCACAGAGUAACAAAGGCGCUGAUUGUCUGCAUUCUAAUUCAUAGUACUUCACAAAACCAAACUAUUCCCUAAGAAUUUCCUUUCCUUUUCUUUUUUUUUAAGGCACCUCUAUGCAUGUACCUAGGCAUUGUAGAUCAGCAAAUGACAGUUGCAGCCAUUUCUCAGCACUCCUCAGAGCUGCAGUUCCUGCCACUCUGCAGAGGAGUAAUUUCAGUUUUGAAAAGCAACUUCUCUCUUAAAGGACACAGAGGCUGCGUUCCGACACGGCAUUUAAUCAGUUUACAGGCCGUCUUCAGUUCCCGCUGUCCNGACAUGAUCUUGCUGUUC
Molecule: long non-coding RNA, 1743 nt
Organism: Salvator merianae (Argentine black and white tegu)
Lineage: Eukaryota; Metazoa; Chordata; Lepidosauria; Squamata; Teiidae
Source: Ensembl